UACGAAGGGGGCUAGCGUUGCUCGGAAUUACUGGGCGUAAAGGGCGCGUAGGCGGGUCGUUAAGUUGGGGGUGAAAGCCCAGGGCUCAACCCUGGAAUUGCCUUCAAUACUGGCGACCUUGAGUAUGGCAGAGGUGUGUGGAACUCCGAGUGUAGAGGUGAAAUUCGUAGAUAUUCGCAAGAACACCAGUGGCGAAGGCGGCUCACUGGCCCGGUACUGACGCUGAGGUGCGAAAGCGUGGGGAGCAAACAGG
This 253-nucleotide ribosomal RNA is filed under the name uncultured bacterium. Its description in RNAcentral is "partial 16S ribosomal RNA". It matches the Rfam family "Bacterial small subunit ribosomal RNA", at positions 524 to 776 of the family's 1533-position model. The record is from RNAcentral.